GCUGGGCGUGGUGGUGCACGCCUGUAAUCCCAGCUACUCAGGAGGCUGAGGCAGGAGAAUCGCUUGAACCCGGGAGGCGGAGGGUGCAGUGAGCCGAAAUCACGCCACUGCACUCCAGCCUGGAUGAUAGAGUGAGACUCUGUCUCAA
Unclassified non-coding RNA from Pongo abelii (Sumatran orangutan), 148 nucleotides. It matches the Rfam family "Metazoan signal recognition particle RNA". Rfam says of the family: The signal recognition particle (SRP) is a universally conserved ribonucleoprotein. NCBI's taxonomy places the organism in Eukaryota, Metazoa, Chordata, Mammalia, Primates, Hominidae. The record is from Ensembl.